This 494-nucleotide ribosomal RNA is filed under the name uncultured bacterium. RNAcentral's name for it is "partial 16S ribosomal RNA". It matches the Rfam family "Bacterial small subunit ribosomal RNA", at positions 29 to 507 of the family's 1533-position model. The record is from RNAcentral.
ACGAACGCUGGCGGCGUGCCUAAUACAUGCAAGUAGCACGCUGAAGGAGGAGCUUGCUUCUCUGGAUGAGUUGCGAACGGGUGAGUAACGCGUAGGUAACCUGCCUGGUAGCGGGGGAUAACUAUUGGAAACGAUAGCUAAUACCGCAUAAGAGUAGAUGUUGCAUGACAUUUGCUUAAAAGGUGCAAUUGCAUCACUACCAGAUGGACCUGCGUUGUAUUAGCUAGUUGGUGGGGUAACGGCUCACCAAGGCGACGAUACAUAGCCGACCUGAGAGGGUGAUCGGCCACACUGGGACUGAGACACGGCCCAGACUCCUACGGGAGGCAGCAGUAGGGAAUCUUCGGCAAUAGACGGAAGUCUGACCGAGCAACGCCGCGUGAGUGAAGAAGGUUUUCGGAUUGUAAAGCUCUGUUGUAAGAGAAGAACGAGUGUGAGAGUGGAAAGUUCACACUGUGACGGUAUCUUACCAGAAAGGGACGGCUAACUACGUG